GGAUUGGCAACGAGAGUAACUCACGUGAUCAUUUUACAUUGAUCUGUACGUAGAGACUCGAUUACCAUCCUUGAUGCGCUUGUUUUCGCGGCACAACGCCCGCGAAAUGAAGGAAUAUUCUUUUUCUAAGCUCAUAGUCUGUUUUAAAGACCAGUAAUUGAAUACAAUCGCGUUACAUUAUGUCUGUGCUUUAAUUAGAGUGACUUUUAUUUAUAAAAACCUGACCUGUGCUGCCCUAGAGCUUAAAAAGUGGUUUUUUGAAGUUGACGUUACAGUAUGCCUCGUAAACCAAGAAUCCAUUAUAGUAAAAACUAGAAGAGAAAGCUGCAGCCUGUACAUAAAUUUGGGCUAUCUUCAACUUCACCCGAAUCUCUACCCGACUCUCCACCCAUCAAUGCCGACUCUCCACCUGCCACAACUCUUCAAGUCCUUCACUCAACAAUGACCCUUACACAUAAAUCGUGGGUGGACCAGAGUCCUGAUCCUGUUACUUGAGAUUGCUAGAAAAGCCUAUCGAAGUUGAUUGCACACCUCUUACGUUGUAGUAAAAAAAGAAAUAGUUAAUAAUUGCAUGCUAUUUAUGUACAUGUACUAUUAAUUAUUAAGUGUCGAGUUUUUUUCGUAAACUAACUGAUUUCCUUGUACCCUUUUUAAUAUCUUGUUUGUAUUGUUCCAUCCA
Halichondria panicea is the source of this 679-nucleotide long non-coding RNA. RefSeq lists it as uncharacterized. The record is from RefSeq and is a predicted model, not a curated record. The transcript has 3 exons. Lineage: Eukaryota; Metazoa; Porifera; Demospongiae; Suberitida; Halichondriidae.